GGAGAGGUGGCAGAGUGGCUGAAUGCGCGCGCCUGCUAAGUGCGUGAUGGUCAAAAACCAUCCGAGGGUUCGAAUCCCUCCCUCUCCG
RNAcentral lists this transfer RNA (88 nucleotides) under Candidatus Cloacimonadota bacterium. RNAcentral describes it as "tRNA-Ser". It matches the Rfam family "tRNA". From Rfam's summary of the family: Transfer RNA (tRNA) molecules are approximately 80 nucleotides in length. The record is from RNAcentral. Lineage: Bacteria; Pseudomonadati; Candidatus Cloacimonadota. RNAcentral also lists the same sequence under 1 other name.